CUUGAGCACAAGGUCACCUUCUCGGAACACACGAGGCUUGACCUUCUUGUUGAAUGCUUUUUCACUCUCUGCUGAUAUGACUGACCAUGACACAUGGCAGUUGAUCUUCUUCCUUUCCGAUCGAAUUCACUUGGUCGUAGUGACUCUGAAUCCAUUCAGCAUCAGUCAACUUGGGACUUUGAGGGUGCUAUUUCUCUUUUGUUUCUUUCUUUCUUUUUCUUUCUUUUGAUUUGGAUUUCUUUUGAUUUUGCACCCUCCUUUUUUUUUUAUGUGCCCCAGUUGGCUGUUCUGCCGAUUCUCGAGACGCAGCUGAGUGAUCUUCUUUUCUUGCUCAAGAAGCCGGGAAAUCUCGUCAGGAAUCCUUUCAACAUCAUCUUCUUCCGCUUCAAAUACAGGGAAUUCAAAAUUGGGAGAUAACGUCCGAUCAUUAGGUUCAAUGGGUUUAAGAAACAGCCUGCAUAAUGAUUUAGAGAUGAAAAGCUUU
Molecule: long non-coding RNA, 484 nt
Filed under: Lathyrus oleraceus (garden pea)
Lineage: Eukaryota; Viridiplantae; Streptophyta; Magnoliopsida; Fabales; Fabaceae
Description: Pisum sativum (pea) long non-coding RNA (PSAT_LNC033867)
Source: RNAcentral